This 313-nucleotide long non-coding RNA is filed under the name Zostera marina. RNAcentral's name for it is "long non-coding RNA (ZMAR_LNC004135)". The record is from RNAcentral. Lineage: Eukaryota; Viridiplantae; Streptophyta; Magnoliopsida; Alismatales; Zosteraceae.
AACUCCAAUUUCGAAUCCAACUCCAACUCAAAUUCCAACUCCAACUCCUCAAGGUUCGAGUACUCCAACUACUCAAGUACCAACAACAAUGGGUGAAUCUAAUUCCGACUCGGACCUCGGAGAUAAUGAUGGUAACUAACUAAUUAUAAUCGAUAUGUAUAUUAUAUAAUUGAUUGAUUUAUGUGUAUUUAUUGACUCAUUAUUUUUUAUUUCAGAAUUGAGUCUACCAAAUAGAAGAGGUAGAAACAUAGAUCAUCCGAAAGAUCAUCCCAAACAAGGUGAAAGAUUUAAAGUAGAAUGGGAGCCAACGCAC